UUUUUUCUGUCAGCUGCUUUGGAUAUGUUCUUAAUGCAUUAGUUGUUGGUGUAGUUUCCCAAUUUUCCAGGGUAGAGAUCCAUCUUGGUAGUCCUUCUAUGUCUUUUGUUGUCUUGGCAUUUGAGUAGAUAAUUGUGCUAUUUUUGUUGUUGUAGAUCCACUUUCCUCCUUCUUCAUAGCUGCUUAUUAGCUCUUGAAUAAUGACUUUGGUCAUAGUAGCUCUUUUGUUUUGUAGAAAUUCUACUAUUUCUUGAAUGGUUAAAUCAGGUUGUUCCAUAGGUUCUUCACACAUAAUUGUUCUUGUUAGUCCUAGNNN
Molecule: long non-coding RNA, 316 nt
Filed under: Nicotiana benthamiana
Lineage: Eukaryota; Viridiplantae; Streptophyta; Magnoliopsida; Solanales; Solanaceae
Description: long non-coding RNA (NBEN_LNC019217)
Source: RNAcentral